AAAAUCAACGCUGGCGGCGUGCCUAACACAUGCAAGUCGCACGAGAAAGGGGAGCAAUCCCUGAGUACAGUGGCGCACGGGUGAGUAACACGUGAAUAAUCUACCUCCGAGUGGGGAAUAACUGAGAGAAAUCUUAGCUAAUACCGCAUAACACUUACGGGUCAAAGCAGCAAUGCGCUUGGAGAGGAGUUCGCGGCAGAUUAGUUAGUUGGCGGGGUAAUGGCCCACCAAGACGAUGAUCUGUAUCCGGCCUGAGAGGGCGCACGGACACACUGGAACUGAAACACGGUCCAGACUCCUACGGAGGCAGCAGUGGGGAAUUUUGCGCAAUGGGGAAACCCUGACGCAGCAACGCCGCGUGGAGGAUGAAGCCCCUUGGGUGUAAACUCCUUCGAUCGGGAAGAUAAUGACGGUACCGAUAUAAGAAGCCCCGGCUAACUUCGUGCCAGCAGCCGC
RNAcentral lists this ribosomal RNA (456 nucleotides) under uncultured bacterium. RNAcentral describes it as "SSU rRNA". It matches the Rfam family "Bacterial small subunit ribosomal RNA", at positions 32 to 518 of the family's 1533-position model. The record is from RNAcentral.